Molecule: ribosomal RNA, 460 nt
Filed under: uncultured bacterium
Lineage: Bacteria
Description: partial 16S ribosomal RNA
Rfam family: Bacterial small subunit ribosomal RNA
Source: RNAcentral
CCUACGGGGGGCUGCAGUGAGGAAUAUUGGUCAAUGGACGAGAGUCUGAACCAGCCAAGUAGCGUGAAGGAUGACUGCCCUAUGGGUUGUAAACUUCUUUUAUAUGGGAAUAAAACGUUCCACGUGUGGGAUUUUGUAUGUACCAUAUGAAUAAGGAUCGGCUAACUCCGUGCCAGCAGCCGCGGUAAUACGGAGGAUCCGAGCGUUAUCCGGAUUUAUUGGGUUUAAAGGGAGCGUAGGUGGAUUGUUAAGUCAGUUGUGAAAGUUUGCGGCUCAACCGUAAAAUUGCAGUUGAAACUGGCAGUCUUGAGUACAGUAGAGGUGGGCGGAAGUCGUGGUGUAGCGGUGAAAUGCUUAGAUAUCACGAAGAACUCCGAUUGCGAAGGCAGUUCACUGGACUGCAACUGACACUGAGGCUCGAAAGUGUGGGUAUCAAACAGGAUGAGAUACCCCAGUAGUC